This 72-nucleotide transfer RNA is filed under the name Camelus dromedarius (Arabian camel). It matches the Rfam family "tRNA". From Rfam's summary of the family: Transfer RNA (tRNA) molecules are approximately 80 nucleotides in length. The record is from Rfam by way of RNAcentral. RNAcentral also lists the same sequence under 2 other names. Lineage: Eukaryota; Metazoa; Chordata; Mammalia; Artiodactyla; Camelidae.
GUGGGUAUAGCUCAGUGGUAGAGCACAUGCUUAACAUGCAUGAGGUCCUGGGUUCAAUCUCUAGUACCUCCA